CGGCAACGGAUAUCUCGGCUCUCGCAUCGAUGAAGAACGUAGCGAAAUGCGAUACUUGGUGUGAAUUGCAGAAUCCCGUGAACCAUCGAGUCUUUGAAUGCAAGUUGCGCCCGAAGCCAUCAGGCCGAGGGCACGCCUGCCUGGGCGUCACACGUCGUUGCCCCC
Molecule: ribosomal RNA, 165 nt
Filed under: Malus toringoides
Lineage: Eukaryota; Viridiplantae; Streptophyta; Magnoliopsida; Rosales; Rosaceae
Description: 5.8S ribosomal RNA
Rfam family: 5.8S ribosomal RNA (bases 3-150)
About the family: 5.8S ribosomal RNA (5.8S rRNA) is a component of the large subunit of the eukaryotic ribosome. It is transcribed by RNA polymerase I as part of the 45S precursor that also contains 18S and 28S rRNA. Functionally, it is thought that 5.8S rRNA may be involved in ribosome translocation.
Source: RNAcentral